Prunus persica (peach) is the source of this 649-nucleotide long non-coding RNA. RefSeq lists it as uncharacterized. The record is from RefSeq and is a predicted model, not a curated record. The transcript has 2 exons. Lineage: Eukaryota; Viridiplantae; Streptophyta; Magnoliopsida; Rosales; Rosaceae.
CUGAAGAAGGCGGAGGCCGGAGAUGAAAAGCUAGAGCUGGGUAUGGAUCCGAUUCUGCAAACGGUGCUUCAAGAGGAACUUGAAGAACACGCUGUAGAGCUUAACAGCUACGCUUGCUCUGUAGGGAGUAGAAUUGGUUGAGAAAUGAGAGGAGGGCACAUGAGAGAAGACCCAGGAACCACGUCCGGAAUUGGUCUAACUCUUCCCGCUGGUGUUUGAUUUGGGUAGCCAAGUCCUCUGUUAAAAACAGAGAACAAAGCUGAAGAUUGUUGUUGCAGAGAGAAAAGAAGGAUUGAAGGUGAGAUUUCAGUGGCAGCUGAAGUUUCUGAUUUGCAAGAGAGAUCGAACAAAUCUAUGAGCAAACUUGGUUCUGCAGGAUUUGAUCGAAUUUCUCAGCUGGUAUUUUAGAGAUAUUCGUGCUGAUAACGUGUUAUAAAUCUAGUGAGAAAAUGGAGAGGAAAUUGAGAGAGAGAGAAGAGAAUGUUUUCUCAUUCAUUAUUGUCAUUUCUCUUAGUAUUAUCAAUCUGAUAUCUAUAGGCAAGGAAAUGUGAUGCCCGUGAAUGUGCAAUAACUUCAUGCACCAAAUAGUAAGUGGGCUCCACCUUCUUGACUUUUACAACAAACAUAUAUAUACACUCAGUUUAUACUC